This 505-nucleotide ribosomal RNA is filed under the name uncultured bacterium. Its description in RNAcentral is "bacterial SSU rRNA". It matches the Rfam family "Bacterial small subunit ribosomal RNA", at positions 29 to 524 of the family's 1533-position model. The record is from RNAcentral.
AGUGAACGCUGGCGGCAGGCCUAAUACAUGCAAGUCGAACGGCAGCACAGCAGAGCUUGCUCUGUGGGUGGCGAGUGGCGGACGGGUGAGGAAUACGUGGGAAUCUGCCCAGUCGUGGGGGAUAACGUAGGGAAACUUACGCUAAUACCGCAUGCGCCCUUCGGGGAAAGCCGGGGACCUUCGGGCCUGGCGCGAUUGGAUGAGCCCACGUCGGAUUAGCUAGUUGGCGGGGUAAAGGCCCACCAAGGCGACGAUCCGUAGCUGGUCUGAGAGGAUGAUCAGCCACACUGGAACUGAGACACGGUCCAGACUCCUACGGGAGGCAGCAGUAGGGAAUAUUGGACAAUGGGCGCAAGCCUGAUCCAGCCAUGCCUCGUGAGUGAAGAAGGCCCUCGGGUUGUAAAGCUCUUUUGUCCGGAAAGAAAGCGCCGGGUUAAUACCCUGGUGUCCUGACGGUACCGGAAGAAUAAGCACCGGCUAACUUCGUGCCAGCAGCCGCGGUAAU